Molecule: transfer RNA, 76 nt
Filed under: Mycobacterium tuberculosis
Lineage: Bacteria; Bacillati; Actinomycetota; Actinomycetes; Mycobacteriales; Mycobacteriaceae
Also listed under: 55 other names
Description: tRNA-Thr(tgt)
Rfam family: tRNA
About the family: Transfer RNA (tRNA) molecules are approximately 80 nucleotides in length.
Source: RNAcentral
GCCGCUGUAGCUCAAUUGGUAGAGCAACUGACUUGUAAUCAGUAGGUUGGGGGUUCAAGUCCUCUCGGCGGCACCA